AUUGAACGCUGGCGGCAUGCCUUACACAUGCAAGUCGAACGGCAGCACGGGAGCAAUCCUGGUGGCGAGUGGCGAACGGGUGAGUAAAGUAUCGGAACGUGCCCAGUCGUGGGGGAUAACGUAGCGAAAGUUACGCUAAUACCGCAUACGAUCUAUGGAUGAAAGCGGGGGAUCGCAAGACCUCGCGCGAUUGGAGCGGCCGAUAUCAGAUUAGGUAGUUGGUGGGGUAAAGGCUCACCAAGCCGACGAUCUGUGGCUGGUCUGAGAGGACGACCAGCCACACUGGGACUGGGACACGGCCCAGACUCCUACGGGAGGCAGCAGUGGGGAAUUUUGGACAAUGGGCGAAAGCCUGAUCCAGCCAUGCCGCGUGCAGGAUGAAGGCCUUCGGGUUGUAAACUGCUUUUGUACGGAACGAAAAGGUUUGGCCUAAUAAGCUGAGCUCAUGACGGUACCGUAAGAAUAAGCACCGGCUAACUACGUGCCAGCCGCCGCGGUAAG
This 501-nucleotide ribosomal RNA is filed under the name uncultured bacterium. Its description in RNAcentral is "partial 16S ribosomal RNA". It matches the Rfam family "Bacterial small subunit ribosomal RNA", at positions 30 to 524 of the family's 1533-position model. The record is from RNAcentral.